This 656-nucleotide long non-coding RNA is filed under the name Homo sapiens (human). RNAcentral describes it as "non-protein coding lnc-MAGEB5-5:1". Lineage: Eukaryota; Metazoa; Chordata; Mammalia; Primates; Hominidae. The record is from RNAcentral.
AUGCGUCUCGCCUCCUCCCCACCUCGCGGCCGGCAGCAGCCCUCCAGGUUUGGCUCCAUGGAUUGAUUCUCUCAGAGCAGCUGCUCGGGGCCGACCUACACCAGGCCUGCCGACGUCUCCCCUGGGAGCCUCCCUGGCCCGGGCCAGACAUCCGGCACCCGGAGCCCCGUCAGGCGGUCAGCAUCAAGGAGGCUAGGUCCUCAAAUCGGCCUGCGCCGGAGAGGACAGUGGCUGCCUUCACCAUGGGGCAGGUCGACGCCUUGGAGGGCGUCUUCCGGCACCACCAGUACCUGGGCCCUCUGGAGCCGGCAAAUGCAGGACUCCCAGCUGCACAGCCCCUUCUCGGGGUCUCUCCACGCGCCCCCGGCUUUUCACUCACCGUCUUCUGGCCUUGCCAAUGGCCUGCAGCUGCUAUGCCCUUGGACACCCCUGCCCAGGCCCCAGGCUCUGAUGCUGCCCCCUGGCUCCUUCUGGGGUCUCUGCCAAGUGGAACAAGAGGCCCUAGCCUCUGCGUGGGCUUCCUGCUACGGGCAUCCUCCGCCGCCGGCGUACCACUCCCCAAGCCCAGGAAGUGGCGUGCAUACGCUGGGACCAGCCCUCUCCAGGGGGCCGUGGGGCUUGUGUGUUCUUCUGGAGACCGGGGGGAUGCAUUUUGA